RNAcentral lists this non-coding RNA (23 nucleotides) under Arabidopsis thaliana (thale cress). Lineage: Eukaryota; Viridiplantae; Streptophyta; Magnoliopsida; Brassicales; Brassicaceae. The record is from RNAcentral.
ACGCUCGAGAGGUCCGAUCCCUC